UACGUAGGGACCGAGCGUUGUCCGGAUUCAUUGGGCGUAAAGAGCUCGUAGGCGGCCGCUCAAGUCGAAUGUGAAACCUCGAGGCUCAACCUCGAGCCUGCAUUCGAUACUGGGCGGCUAGAGUCUGGUAGGGGGAUCUGGAAUUCCUGGUGUAGCGGUGGAAUGCGCAGAUAUCGGGAGGAACACCAGUGGCGAAGGCGGCACUCUGGGCCGGUACUGACGCUGAGGAGCGAAAGCGUGGGGAGCGAACAGG
Molecule: ribosomal RNA, 253 nt
Filed under: uncultured bacterium
Lineage: Bacteria
Description: partial 16S ribosomal RNA
Rfam family: Bacterial small subunit ribosomal RNA
Source: RNAcentral